This 274-nucleotide ribosomal RNA is filed under the name uncultured bacterium. Its description in RNAcentral is "partial 16S ribosomal RNA". It matches the Rfam family "Bacterial small subunit ribosomal RNA", at positions 523 to 796 of the family's 1533-position model. The record is from RNAcentral.
AUACGGAGGGGGUUAGCGUUGUUCGGAAUUACUGGGCGUAAAGCGCACGUAGGCGGAUUGGAAAGUUGGGGGUGAAAUCCCAGGGCUCAAUCCUGGAACUGCCUCCAAAACUAACAGUCUAGAGUUCGAGAGAGGUGAGUGGAAUUCCAAGUGUAGAGGUGAAAUUCGUAGAUAUUUGGAGGAACACCAGUGGCGAAGGCGGCUCACUGGCUCGAUACUGACGCUGAGGUGCGAAAGCGUGGGGAGCAAACAGGAUUAGAAACCCGGGUAGUCC